RNAcentral lists this ribosomal RNA (480 nucleotides) under Triticum aestivum (bread wheat). RNAcentral's name for it is "partial small subunit ribosomal RNA". Lineage: Eukaryota; Viridiplantae; Streptophyta; Magnoliopsida; Poales; Poaceae. The record is from RNAcentral.
AUGGCAGAAAAAAUGAAUCAAUCUUGUGCUCAAAGUAAUCAGUCAACGCACCAGUUGGGGUCUCACAUGGAUUGGACUUGGGGAUGGAAUGAGGAGACAAGCUGGUUUGAAGUGAUUUCUGUGAGAGGCGAGCCAAUUGUAUAUAUUGGCAAUCCCUUCGCAAUUUAUCUGAAAUGGGCAGUGGCUGAGUGUGGGAUUUUUCAAAAGCCAGAAAAGCACCUCCAGUGGUGCUUUCGCUCCUAUGAAUUAAUAAACCACCGUGCUCGGGUACAGAAUGUUUGCUUUAAGCCCCAAAAUAAGCUAGCUGUUUGCUUGGGUACAGAAUGCCAAAGCCCAAUCCCAACCAAACGCCCCUUUAACCUUGGGAACCAUAGGAUUCAAACUAGCACAGAUUGUGUGCCUAAAAUUGCCUUACCUAUGUGCAGAUAUUCGGCCAUCAAAUUUGUCAGUUCUAUUAAGAUAACCACACAUUUUUGGUGA